This 254-nucleotide ribosomal RNA is filed under the name uncultured bacterium. Its description in RNAcentral is "partial 16S ribosomal RNA". It matches the Rfam family "Bacterial small subunit ribosomal RNA", at positions 524 to 776 of the family's 1533-position model. The record is from RNAcentral.
GACGAACCGUGCGAACGUUAUUCGGAAUCACUGGGCUUAAAGCGCGUGUAGGCGGGACGGCACGUCGGUCGCUGAAAUCCCCGGGCUCAACCUGGGAAUGGCAUUUGGGACUGCAAGGCUGGAGUACGGCAGAGGAGACUGGAAUUCCUGGUGUAGCAGUGAAAUGCGUAGGUAUCAGGAGGAAUACCGAUGGCGAAGGCAGGUCUCUGGGCUGAUACUGACGCUCAUGCACGAAAGCGUGGGGAGCAAACAGG